RNAcentral lists this unclassified non-coding RNA (329 nucleotides) under soil metagenome. Its description in RNAcentral is "partial contains 5.8S ribosomal RNA, internal transcribed spacer 2, and large subunit ribosomal RNA". The stretch from base 1 to 120 matches the Rfam family "5.8S ribosomal RNA", at positions 35 to 154 of the family's 154-position model. The record is from RNAcentral.
GAUGAAGAACGUAGCGAAAUGCGAUAAGUAAUGUGAAUUGCAGAAUUCAGUCAAUCAUCGAAUCUUUGAACGCACAUUGCGCCCUCUGGUAUUCCGGGGGGCAUGCCUGUUCGAGCGUCAUUAUAACCACUCAAGCUCUCGCUUGGUAUUGGGGUUCGCGGUUCCGCGGCCCCUAAAAUCAGUGGCGGUGCCUGUCGGCUCUACGCGUAGUAAUACUCCUCGCGAUUGAGUCCGGUAGGUCUACUUGCCAGCAACCCCCAAUUUUUACAGGUUGACCUCGGAUCAGGUAGGGAUACUCGCUGAACUUAAGCAUAUCAAUAAGCGGACGA